RNAcentral lists this ribosomal RNA (253 nucleotides) under uncultured bacterium. RNAcentral's name for it is "partial 16S ribosomal RNA". It matches the Rfam family "Bacterial small subunit ribosomal RNA", at positions 524 to 776 of the family's 1533-position model. The record is from RNAcentral.
GACAGAGGGGGCAAGCGUUGCUCGGAAUCACUGGGCGUAAGGCGCGCGUAGGCGGAUUUGCAAGUCGGGGGUGAAAUCCCGAGGCUCAACCUCGGAACUGCCUUCGAUACUGCAAAUCUUGAGUCCGGAAGAGGUGAGUGGAAUUCCUAGUGUAGAGGUGAAAUUCGUAGAUAUUAGGAAGAACACCAGUGGCGAAGGCGGCUCACUGGUCCGGUACUGACGCUGAGGCGCGAAAGCGUGGGGAGCAAACAGG